Molecule: ribosomal RNA, 644 nt
Filed under: unicellular cyanobacterium 'ESSA A4 010207-7'
Lineage: Bacteria; Bacillati; Cyanobacteriota; Cyanophyceae; Chroococcales
Description: bacterial SSU rRNA
Rfam family: Bacterial small subunit ribosomal RNA
Source: RNAcentral
ACGGAUGGAAACAUUCGCUAAAACCCCAUAUGCCCUCGGGUGAAAAAGAGAAAGUAAGUCAUACUGAUUUAUCUCUGCCUGAAGAGAAGCUCGCGGCUGAUUAGCUAGUUGGUAGGGUAAAGGCCUACCAAGGCGACGAUCAGUAGCUGGUCUGAGAGGACGAUCAGCCACACUGGAACUGAGACACGGUCCAGACUCCUACGGGAGGCAGCAGUGAGGAAUUUUCUGCAAUGGGCGAAAGCCUGACAGAGCAAUACCGCGUGGGGGAUGAAGACUUACUGAGUUGUAAACCUCGGUACCCUAAGGAAGAAGAUAUGACGGUACUUAGGGUGGAAAGCAUCGGCUAACUCCGUGCCAGCAGCCGCGGUAAGACGGGGGAUGCAAGUGUUAUCCGGAUUUACUGGGCGUAAAGCGUCUGCAGGUGGUUUCUUAAGUCUACUGUUAAAUCUUGAGGCUCAACCUCAAAUCUGCAGUAGAAACUAGGAGACUUGAGUAUAGUAGGGGUAGAGGGAAUUUCCAGUGGAGCGGUGAAAUGCGUAGAUAUUGGAAAGAACACCGAUGGCGAAGGCACUCUACUGGGCUAUUACUGACACUCAGAGACGAAAGCUAGGGGAGCAAAUGGGAUUAGAUACCCCAGUAGUCAC